CCUACGGGGGGCAGCAGUGAGGAAUAUUGGUCAAUGGACGAGAGUCUGAACCAGCCAAGUAGCGUGAAGGAUGACUGCCCUAUGGGUUGUAAACUUCUUUUAUAUGGGAAUAAAAUGUUCCACGUGUGGGAUUUUGUAUGUACCAUAUGAAUAAGGAUCGGCGAACUCCGUGCCAGCAGCCGCGGUAAUACGGAGGAUCCGAGCGUUAUCCGGAUUUAUUGGGUGUAAAGGGAGCGUAGGUGGAUUGUUAAGUCAGUUGUGAAAGUUUGCGGCUCAACCGUAAAAUUGCAGUUGAAACUGGCAGUCUUGAGUACAGUAGAGGUGGGCGGAAUUCGUGGUGUAGCGGUGAAAUGCUUAGAUAUCACGAAGAACUCCGAUUGCGAAGGCAGUUCACUGGACUGCAACUGACACUGAGGCUCGAAAGUGUGGGUAUCAAACAGGAUUAGAUACCCCUGUAGUC
Molecule: ribosomal RNA, 460 nt
Filed under: uncultured bacterium
Lineage: Bacteria
Description: partial 16S ribosomal RNA
Rfam family: Bacterial small subunit ribosomal RNA
Source: RNAcentral